RNAcentral lists this ribosomal RNA (100 nucleotides) under Pseudo-nitzschia australis. RNAcentral describes it as "partial 5.8S ribosomal RNA". It matches the Rfam family "5.8S ribosomal RNA", at positions 62 to 154 of the family's 154-position model. From Rfam's summary of the family: 5.8S ribosomal RNA (5.8S rRNA) is a component of the large subunit of the eukaryotic ribosome. It is transcribed by RNA polymerase I as part of the 45S precursor that also contains 18S and 28S rRNA. The record is from RNAcentral. Lineage: Eukaryota; Bacillariophyta; Bacillariophyceae; Bacillariales; Bacillariaceae.
GUAAUGCGAAUUGCAAGACCUCGUGAAUCAUUAAGAUUUUGAACGCACAUUGCGCUUUCGGGAUUUUCCCGGUAGCAUGCUUGUCUGAGUGUCUGUGGAU